This 422-nucleotide ribosomal RNA is filed under the name uncultured bacterium. Its description in RNAcentral is "bacterial SSU rRNA". It matches the Rfam family "Bacterial small subunit ribosomal RNA", at positions 30 to 451 of the family's 1533-position model. The record is from RNAcentral.
AUUGAACGCUGGCGGCGUGCUUAACACAUGCAAGUCGUGCGGUAACAGGCGUAGCAAUACGUGCUGACGAGCGGCGAACGGGUGCGUAAUACAUGGGAAUCUGCCUUUUAGUGGGGAAUAACCCGGCGAAAGCCGGGCUAAUGCCGCAUAAGAUCUUCGGAUGAAAGCGGGGGAUCGUAAGACCUCGCGCUGAUAGAUGAGCCCAUGCCGGAUUAGCUAGUUGGGAGGUAACGGCUCACCAAGGCGACGAUCCGUAGCUGGUCUGAGAGGACGGCCAGCCACACUGGGACUGAGACACGGCCCAGACUCCUACGGGAGGCAGCAGUGGGGAAUAUUGGACAAUGGGGGAAACCCUGAUCCAGCGACGCCGCGUGUGUGAAGAAGGCCUGCGGGUUGUAAAGCACUUUCGGUGGGAACGAAAU